RNA transcript from Agrilus planipennis (emerald ash borer), 1814 nucleotides. It is a transcript of the gene named lys-63-specific deubiquitinase BRCC36, with no coding region annotated. The record is from RefSeq and is a predicted model, not a curated record. NCBI's taxonomy places the organism in Eukaryota, Metazoa, Arthropoda, Insecta, Coleoptera, Buprestidae. The transcript has 2 exons.
AAUAGGAAGUAUUCUAUUUGAUAAAAAAAAUACCGUUUGAAGGUAUUAAUCGAUUACAACAACAGUGUCCUGUUUAGUUUGAUUACACACAACUGAUAAGAUUGCCUUUAUCUUUAUGUUCGACACCAUAUUUAUUAGUAAUUUUCAGUUACUUUUGUUAAUUUAAGUAAAAUGUUUAAAACACCUGAAGCAGAUGUGGCAGAAAGGGAAUUAAAUAUAAGUGCCAGUAGCUUACAAGUUAGUGCAAAAAUGGAGCUACCAGUUUUUUCAGAUGAUAAUCCUGUUGUUACACAACAACCAACUUCUACUAAUGAUGCCACAGAUGCAGCCUCUAAAGUCAGACGACCAAUUCCUGUUUCAACAAUAGACUGGCGUACCACAAAUUUAUCUCAGUUUAUUCCCUUAAGAGGGAUAGACUUCUUAAAUGGUGCUGAACAACUUCUUAUUACGCAAACAGUUGAACUAAGUGCCCUCUUAUCAAGUGUAGAAUCAGAAAAUCGUUAUACAAUAAAAGUUCCGAAUGGGGAAACUUUAUUUUAUGCAUGUGAAAACUCCACAGGUUGUCAGAGAACAUGUUUUGGUUCAAGUAGAUCAUUUUCAUUAAGACUGUUUGAUCAAACUCAACAGGAAGCAUUGGAAAUAAGAAGGAGAUUAGCUUGUGGAAAUUGUUCAUUUCUAUGUUAUUUACAAGUCGUGGAAGUAUGGGCUGCUCCAGGGGAAUUUAUAGGAACAGUUAAGCAACAGUUCAGCUUCGAUACCCCAACAUAUUUAGUAUAUGAUGAACAAGUUAAUCAAUUGUACAGAAUAGAAGGUCCAAAAUCUUUUGGAUGUUUUGUACCUCUUAAAGAAGCACAUUUUAAGAUAUAUAGUCCUGAUGGAAUGACACAGUUGGGAAGUAUUUAUCAUCAGUGGGAUCAAGUACAAGUCGCAUACAACUUGGGUGUGCAGUUUCCUAGUCGAAAUACUGAUUCCAAACACAAAGCUCUACUUUUGGGAGCAGCUUUUCUAUUAGAAUACAUCUAUUUUGAGAGAACUAAAAGAACGAGAUGCUGUCCCUGCACUUGUUAGAACAAAAAUAAAUGCUAAUAAGGCAUAUCACUGAAUAACUAAUUAAGUAUAUUCUGAGUUUAAACACUCUUGUUAUCCUAUAUUAUUGUGCUAUUAUUAAUGUUAAAAGUAACGAGAUUAAUAUAUUUAUUAAAAUUAACAAACAUUGAAUAAAAACAUUAUUAUUUCACUAUUUGUCUGAUUAUAGAUAAAUGUAAGAAAAUAAAGGUAUAAACAUUCGUCGUACACUUAAAUAAAUAAGUUCUUAAGCCCAGAAAUGUAAAUGUGUAUGAUCUACUUGAAAUUGAAUUCUUUGUAUGAUAGAUAAGAUAAACUUUAGUGGCGAUUAUCAGUCGGCGCAAAUAGGUAUUUAUAUUGUUUUGUAUUUACUUGUUAAAAAAUAGGCGCAUUAUGUAGAUGAUAUGAAAUAACUAGUACUUUUUGUGUCACACUUAAACAUCUUACGAAAGUUUUAUUCCAAGUACUAUUAUUACUGCAACAUAUAAUUAAAAAUUGGGUCAUAAAUUUCUUCACAGUACACAAACAAAUUCGGCUUUUACUUCAAGUCAUUUUAAUCAAUAAUUUAUCAUUCAAGGCAAUAAAAAUGCAGUCAUUUCCUUUAUUUCCACAAGGCUUUGAGGUUUAUUAACAAAUAUUAUUUUUAUUUUCUAUACAAAAAGUUGACGAAGAAAAUGGAGUUUCUAACAUAACUGCUUGUUUCACUUUAAAUAGAAGUGAUAAACAGCCCGAUCGUGUUGAAAUUUCAC